GAGACAGCAGUAGCGCGGGAAUACGAAGGGGGCUAGCGUUGUUCGGAUUUACUGGGCGUAAAGCGCACGUAGGCGGACUUUUAAGUCAGGGGUGAAAUCCCGGGGCUCAACCCCGGAACUGCCUUUGAUACUGGAAGUCUUGAGUAUGGUAGAGGUGAGUGGAAUUCCGAGUGUAGAGGUGAAAUUCGUAGAUAUUCGGAGGAACACCAGUGGCGAAGGCGGCUCACUGGACCAUUACUGACGCUGAGGUGCGAAAGCGUGGGGAGCAAACAGGAUUAGAUACCCCCGUAGUCCCUGUCUCUUAUACA
This 308-nucleotide ribosomal RNA is filed under the name uncultured bacterium. RNAcentral describes it as "partial 16S ribosomal RNA". It matches the Rfam family "Bacterial small subunit ribosomal RNA", at positions 505 to 808 of the family's 1533-position model. The record is from RNAcentral.